GAACCGUAACAGCCGCAAUUAACAUUCUCUCACUUGUGUCAUCGUUGCCGAAGACGGCAAAAUUGCAGUGUACAAUUGCCUAUAUAGACGUUGUACCACCAUUUCGAGCAAGCAUUAAUUGCUUCAUGCCUACUUCCACCGAGUCUCAACCAAACAAGGUAUGACCUUCCACUUUCUUUACUUUUUCUGCGAUUCCAUGGUCAAGAAGACUGAAAAUCUUUAAUUGCUUUCGGGAUCUGAUUUCAAAAACUCAUUUUUCAUUGGUUUUUGCUGAUUUGAGGGGCAAUCCAAGAGGGUUUUCCCCCUAAUUUCUUAGUCCCACAUCGAAAACUAGGGUUUGAGUUUUCAAAUUUGGGGUUCUAUAUAAAGAACCCCAUAUGUCACUAUUUCACACACUACAUACUGGAGAAAAAAAUCUGAAAAUCAGAAAAUAUACAUGGUAUGCCUAGUGAUCUAGCAAUUUUCUUGGAACCUUUAAUUUACCUUUACCAAGUUUUAGUUUUUUUUUUAAAUUUAAAUUUUUCUUUUGGUUUGUGGCUGAGUUGAGUGGCUAAGGAGCUUAAAGGAGCUCCAAUUCCGUUGCUCGACCAAGGCUGCACCUGAAAGAGGUUUUGAAAUGUGAACUGUGAAGAUCGGAUUUCGAGGUCUGUAGCUGUGCGUUUCCAAGUAUGAACAGUAGCUUCGAAUUUGGUGAAUAUCUAUAGUUUAUUAGUCAUACAAACCUCAAUUAGAUGUAGAAUGAUUCUUUGAAGCAUGGAGCUUACGUUUGGAAUAUUUGAACGAGAUUUUAGGUAUGUCUCUUUUAAACAUACUGUUUUUAUCGGUUUUUACGAACUCUUUGAUUGUGAUUUGUAUGUCUCUUUUAAAAUCAUUUUUGACUAUAAAGGUGACUCGUAUGUCUCUCUUUUGAAAACUUAUUCUGAAUGAAAAUCACUUUUUGAAACUAUUGUUGGAAAUAUAAAUUUUAUUCAAGAUUCUUUAAUGAAUGAAAGGAAAAGUAAUCUUUUCAUGUUUCUUGAACCCUAAUUCAUGUCUAAAUGGUGGUUAAUGUGUGUGAGGAGACAAACCCACAUUAAACCUAGAUUGUAACAAAACCUACAUAUGUAUAAGAUAUUAUGAACGUUUUCCUCUAUGAGAUAUGCUUAAUAAUGAUGGUUAAGAGUUGCUAAUGACAUUCUCAUUGAUGAAUUGGGACAUGGAAAUAUUUUGUAAAGAAGUUAUAUGUUUUCAAAACGUUGAUUGGAAUGACUUAUUCUUUCGAUAUGGCUUAAUGAACUUUAAUGUUAUUAAUGGUGUGACUACUUUGAGAUAAAUUGUGAAUCGGCUUCUAUGCCUUGGACCUUGUUGUUGUGUUUGCCUUGCUAUUCAGGAGGAAGAGUUGCCACUAUGGAUCCUAGUAUAUUAAUUGUCUUGCCAUUCGGGGGGAAGAGUGGCCACUUCCGGGUUCGCUACCUAGGGUGUAUUAAUUGCCUUGCUAUUCGGGAGGAAAAGUAGGCUCCGUGAAUCCAUAUUCCAGUGUAUUGCGUAGUGUGCCUUGCUAUUCGGGAGGAAGAGUAGCCACCGUAAAUCCAUAUUCCGGUGUAUUGCGCAGUGCUGUUGAUAUUGAGUUGGGCCUAUAUGGGUGAUUGUGAUAUCCAUCUUUAUUAUGGAACUAGUAUUUAUGCCUGAUUGAUUUAAAGCAUAAUUGAAACUGGAUUUUGAAAUGGCUUUGUAAACAAUUUAACAAAUGAUAUUAAGAAUCACAAAGUGGAAUAACUGUUUUUAUACUAUCUUUUCAGAACUGAUUUAUUUAUGUAUUAUUAUAUUUAUUUUUAUAUUACUUGUUGUCCUCGAGGCACUCACUGAGUACGAAAGUACUCAGGCAUACCAUUGUUGUUUUUAAUGGUAUGUUAGAUAACGGAGAAGACCAGGUUCGUGAUACUCUCGACGCUUAGGAGAACUUGCUGCUGCUGUUGAUUUGGUGAGCCCACAUCCUUGUUCGUGGGGCACUUCCUAUUUCAUUUAUUAUUCUAGAUUUCCGGGUUGCGUCCCGAAGUUAGAUGAUUGUUGUGUCUCUUAGAAGCUCCAUAGAUAGUUGUCAGAAUUGUGGGUAGAUUGUCAAAGUCUAGUACGACUUAAUGGGUGUUUGCUACGUUUAUGACUAUUUACUUAUAUUAGACUUCCGCUGAUUUUAUUUCAUAAUUGUGAUCCUGAUAUAUGCAGUUACUUAUAACUUUGUUUAAUUUAAUAAGGAAAGAUUAUUAAAAAGGAAUUUGAUGUUACAUUUAUUUUAUAAAAUAUUGGAGGCGAAUAUUUAACCUGGCGGGUUCAAGUGUUAUUAUUAUGUCGUUUAGGUUCUUCUGAUGUUGUUCAUGACGUCGGAUGAAGGUCACGUCUAAGGUGGGUUUUGAGGCGUGACAAGUUUGGUAUCAGAGCUUAGGUUUAGAAGUGUCCUAGGAUUUUUCUUUGGAGCUGUUUCUAGUGGAGUCCUCUUCAUGCAGACUGGCCACCUGUAUGGAUGUGUGACUACCAGGACAUUUUAGGUGUUUCUUAUUCUUCUUGAUUCUAGAUUGUGCGAUAGAGCUUGAACUUCUUUUAGGAUCUUUCUGACGCGUUUUUCACUCGUGCUUAUGGAGAUGACCUUAAUCCGUGUUGCAUAUGUUAAUCCAGUGGACAAUGGUAUUAUGGAGUGCACAUGUUGUGAUGUGUAAUUUGAGGGAUGGUACAUAGUCACAGGAAUUGCAUUGUAGGUGUUUGGUAUAUAUAUGGUCGUUUUAGGGUUUGGUUGUUGAUAAAUUGAGACAGAUUUAGAAACAGAAGUAGUCCUUGUUACAAAGUCUUGUUAAGCUUAAGGGAAUAAUUAUGUUAGUGAUAUAUUUCAAGUACUGGAGGUUAGGAUGAAGGGAACAAUUGAAGGUAUCUUGUAGUGAAUUAAGAAUUAUUACACAUUGAGUCUAUAUUCAUAUUGGGUUAAAAAAUCUAUAUUGCUUAGAUGUUUAGUGGAAGGACUAUACUGUGGGCUUGAAAUUGGAGAACUACCGCUUGUGGAAGAAUGAUUUAAGAAGAUGAUGGAGUUGAUUUAGGCGUUAAUUUGUUAUUCUUGGCUUUGAUAUAAGGUAAGUUAGGCUUGUAUCACUUGUUAUUAAAUUAGCCUCUUUGUCAGAUUAUAUUGUCUAGAUUGAUAUAUUGUGAGCUUUCUAGUCAAACCAUAUAUGUGUUGAACCUUCUUGUUAUCGAAUCCUAGGGAAAGUGUAGACUAAAGGUGAAUCUCUUAUUUUAUGUUUAGGCUUUUUCGUUGUAGUUGUGGGAGUCCUUGUGAGAACUAUAUUUUUAAUUUUAUGGUAUUAAUUAUGGUAUUAACAGAGUCUUAUGAUGUGAUAUCUUUCUAUACAAAAUAACUCGAGCGAAAAUUUCUAAGACUUGAGGUUUAGUGGAAAACUUAGGCCAUAACUUUUAUUCGAGGACGAAUGAUCCUAAGUGGGAGAUAAUGUAACAUUCCGUAAAUCCGAGUUAGGUGUCAAUGUGAAAUAAUUAGGGUUUAGAUGUCAUUUUAACCUUUUGGAUCCCUUGGGAUGGAUAAUGGUGUUAAAUAAUCUUUUCGGGGUCAAAUGAGAUAAGGAAGUUCCUUAGAAAUCUUUAAAUUCGUCAAGUUUGAGACAGUUUUCAGUUAUGUCCAGUUUGCGGGUAUUUGCGUUUGACAUUUGGAAAAACUCAAAACAUAUAAGUUGUAGGGAAUUACAAUACCUUUUCAAAAAUAUAUUAUGCAGCCCAAACAGACAUGUGAGUAAAAAGUUAUGCCUGUUUUACAGAAUACAUGCAAAAUAGAAAUCCCGAUUCUUGUAGAAUUAGGUUUUAAAGCCCAAGCCUUUAUGAUAACCAAUAAAUACACCCCAAAAACGUCCAAGGAGAGAGUUUUUCCACCAGAGCCAUAUAUCAUCUCUCUAAGAUUGUGGAAACUCCAUUCAAGGUCAAAUAUGGGAUGAAGCUUUGGGAUUUCUUCAAAAAGGUUUCAAAUGUGAACAGUGAAGAUCGGAUUUCGAGGUCUGUAGCUGUGCGUUUCCAGCUAUGAACAGUAGCUGCGGAUUUGGUGAAUAUCUAUAGUUUAUUCGUCAUACAAACCUCAAUUAGAUGUAGAAUGAUUCUUUGAAGCAUGGAGCUUACGUUUGGAAUAUUUUAACGGGAUUUAAGGUAACAGAGAAGAGCCGGUUCGUGAUACUCUCGACGCUUAGGAGAACUUGCUGCUGCUGUUGAUUUGGUGAGCCCACAUCCUUGUUCGUGGGACACUUCCUAUUUCAUUUAUUAUUCUAGAUUUCCGGGCUGCGUCCCGAAGUUAUAUGAUUGUUGUGUCUCUUAGAAGCUCCAUAGAUAGUUGUCAGAAUUGUGGGUAGAUUGUCAAAGUCUCGUACGACUUAAUGGGUGUUUGCCACAUUUAUGACUAUUUACUUAUAUUAGACUUCCGCUGAUUUUAUUUCAUAAUUAUGAUCAUGAUAUAUGCAGUUACUUAUAACUU
Long non-coding RNA from Lycium barbarum (goji berry), 4489 nucleotides. RefSeq lists it as uncharacterized. Lineage: Eukaryota; Viridiplantae; Streptophyta; Magnoliopsida; Solanales; Solanaceae. The transcript has 5 exons. The record is from RefSeq and is a predicted model, not a curated record.